This 495-nucleotide ribosomal RNA is filed under the name uncultured bacterium. RNAcentral's name for it is "partial 16S ribosomal RNA". It matches the Rfam family "Bacterial small subunit ribosomal RNA", at positions 29 to 506 of the family's 1533-position model. The record is from RNAcentral.
AUGCACGCUGGCGGCGUGCCUAAUACAUGCAAGUCGAGCGAACGGACGAGAAGCUUGCUUCUCUGAUGUUAGCGGCGGACGGGUGAGUAACACGUGGAUAACCUACCUAUAAGACUGGGAUAACUUCGGGAAACCGGAGCUAAUACCGGAUAAUAUUUUGAACCGCAUGGUUCAAAAGUGAAAGACGGUCUUGCUGUCACUUAUAGAUGGAUCCGCGCUGCAUUAGCUAGUUGGUAAGGUAACGGCUUACCAAGGCAACGAUGCAUAGCCGACCUGAGAGGGUGAUCGGCCACACUGGAACUGAGACACGGUCCAGACUCCUACGGGAGGCAGCAGUAGGGAAUCUUCCGCAAUGGGCGAAAGCCUGACGGAGCAACGCCGCGUGAGUGAUGAAGGUCUUCGGAUUGUAAAACUCUGUUAUUAGGGAAGAACAUAUGUGUAAGUAACUGUGCACAUCUUGACGGUACCUAAUCAGAAAGCCACGGCUAACUACGU